RNAcentral lists this ribosomal RNA (531 nucleotides) under Triticum aestivum (bread wheat). Its description in RNAcentral is "partial small subunit ribosomal RNA". The record is from RNAcentral. Lineage: Eukaryota; Viridiplantae; Streptophyta; Magnoliopsida; Poales; Poaceae.
GUUGUCUUCGCCAAGACGUCCCACGAGGCAUGGACUAUUCUUGAGCGCUCGUUUGCGGCACAGUCGCAGGCUCGUGUAUCUGGGCUCCGUCGCCAACUUGGGGAGUGUCAGAAGCUUGACUCCACCGCCACUGAGUUCUACAACAAAGUCAAGAGUCUCGCCGACACGCUGGCCUCCAUUGGACAGCCCCUCACCGACUCCGAGUUCAACUCGUUUAUUGUCAAUGGUCUUGAUGAGGAGUAUGACGCCCUAGUCGAGAUCAUCAAUGAGAGGGGCAACUCCAUGCCCAUGCCAGCACACGAGGUCUUUUCACGCCUCCUGCUUACUGAGCAACGAGUCGAGACGCGCCGAUCCAGGGGCAACGACGCCCUCUCGGCAAACGCCGCCACCAAGGGUGGUCGCUCCUCUGCUUCAUCCAGGGCUCCUUCGGGGCAGUCACCACCACCCGCCUCGGCCCCUCCUCCUACUGCGACGCUACCAGGGGCUGGCGGUCCACGUGUGUGCCAGCUUUGUGGUCGCGAUGGGCACUAG